RNAcentral lists this ribosomal RNA (556 nucleotides) under uncultured Alphaproteobacteria bacterium. RNAcentral describes it as "bacterial SSU rRNA". It matches the Rfam family "Bacterial small subunit ribosomal RNA", at positions 351 to 883 of the family's 1533-position model. The record is from RNAcentral. Lineage: Bacteria; Pseudomonadati; Pseudomonadota; Alphaproteobacteria.
GCACUCGGGGAAUUCUUACACAAUGGCAGCAAUGCCGGAAUUCUUAGCCAAUGGGGGCAAGCAAUGAUCUCCCCCAUGCUUGCUUAAACCGAUUAAGCCCUUAGGGUAGUAAAGCUCUUUCAUUCUGGGAAGAUAAUGACGGUAUCGCAAAAAGAAGCCCCGGCUAAUUCCGUGCCAGCAGCCGCGGUAAUACGGAGGGGGCAAGCGUUAUUCGGAAUUACUGGGCGUAAAGCGCACGUAGGCGGUUUUGAAAGUCAGAGGUGAAAUCCCAGGGCUCAACCUUGGAACUGCCUUUGAAACUCCCAGUCUAGAGUUCGAGAGAGGUGAGUGGAAUUCCGAGUGUAGAGGUGAAAUUCGUAGAUAUUCGGAGGAACUCCAGUGGCGAAGGCGGCUCCCUGGCUCGAUACUGACGCUGAGGUGCGAAAGCGUGGGGAGCAAACCAGGAUUAGAUACCCCUGGUAGUCCCACCCCCGUAAACCGAUGAAUGCCAGUCGUCGGGUACGCUUCCCACUUCGGUGACACACCUAACGCAUUAAGCUUCCCGCCUGGAGACGCA